AUUUGUCUUUAUCGGGCUCGGCCCGAUCCUCCCACCCUUUGUGUACCUACCUCUGUUGCUUUGGCGGGCCGCGGUCCCCCGCGGCCGCCCCCCCUCCCCGGGGGGUGGCUAGUGCCCGCCAGAGGACCAUCAAACUCCAGUCAGUGAACGUCGCAGUCUGAAAAAACAUUCAAUAAACUAAAACUUUCAACAACGGAUCUCUUGGUUCUGGCAUCGAUGAAGAACGCAGCGAAAUGCGAUAAGUAAUGUGAAUUGCAGAAUUCAGUGAAUCAUCGAAUCUUUGAACGCACAUUGCGCCCCUUGGUAUUCCGAGGGGCAUGCCUGUUCGAGCGUCAUUACAACCCUCAAGCUCUGCUUGGUAUUGGGCACCGCCCUUCUUCGGGCGCGCCUCAAAGACCUCGGCGGUGGCUGUCUUGCCUCAAGCGUAGUAGAAUACACCUCGCUUCGGAGCGCAGGGCGUCGCCCGCCGGACGAACCUUCUGAACUUUUCUCAAGGUUGACCUCGGAUCAGGUAGGGAUACCCGCUGAACUUAAGCAUAUCAAAA
RNAcentral lists this ribosomal RNA (545 nucleotides) under Macrophomina phaseolina. RNAcentral's name for it is "eukaryotic LSU rRNA". The stretch from base 182 to 335 matches the Rfam family "5.8S ribosomal RNA". The record is from RNAcentral. Lineage: Eukaryota; Fungi; Ascomycota; Dothideomycetes; Botryosphaeriales; Botryosphaeriaceae.